Molecule: unclassified non-coding RNA, 339 nt
Filed under: soil metagenome
Description: partial contains 5.8S ribosomal RNA, internal transcribed spacer 2, and large subunit ribosomal RNA
Rfam family: 5.8S ribosomal RNA (bases 1-120)
Source: RNAcentral
GAUGAAGAACGUAGCGAAAUGCGAUAAGUAAUGUGAAUUGCAGAAUUCCGUGAAUCAUCGAAUCUUUGAACGCACAUUGCGCCCCCCGGUAUUCCGGGGGGCAUGCCUGUCCGAGCGUCAUUGCAACCCUCAAGCGCGGCUUGUGUGUUGGGCUUCGUCCCCCCGUGGACGUGCCCGAAAGGCAGUGGCGGCGUCCCGAAUGGUGCCCGAGCGUAUGGGAACUCUCUUCCGCUCGAACCGGCCCAUUCGGCGCUGGUCGAACCCCAAUUUUUUUUUACCGGUUGACCUCGGAUCAGGUAGGGAUACCCGCUGAACUUAAGCAUAUCAAUAAGCGGAGGA